Otolemur garnettii (small-eared galago) is the source of this 65-nucleotide small nuclear RNA. Its record names the gene U7. It matches the Rfam family "U7 small nuclear RNA". Rfam says of the family: Animal histone pre-mRNAs are spliced by a different mechanism than nuclear pre-mRNAs and self-splicing introns. The record is from Ensembl. NCBI's taxonomy places the organism in Eukaryota, Metazoa, Chordata, Mammalia, Primates, Galagidae.
AAGUAUUAUAGCUCUUUCAAAAUUUGUCUAGCAGAUUUUCUGGUUUUUACCAGAAGACUGUCUAC